This 253-nucleotide ribosomal RNA is filed under the name uncultured bacterium. Its description in RNAcentral is "partial 16S ribosomal RNA". It matches the Rfam family "Bacterial small subunit ribosomal RNA", at positions 524 to 776 of the family's 1533-position model. The record is from RNAcentral.
GACGUAGGGGGCGAGCGUUGUCCGGAUUUACUGGGCGUAAAGCGCGUGCAGGCGGUCUGUUAAGUCCCGUGUUAAAGCCUCCGGCCCAACCGGAGAACGCCGCGGGAUACUGGCGGGCUUGAGGUCGGUAGAGGGUGAUGGAAUUCCCGGUGUAGCGGUGAAAUGCGUAGAUAUCGGGAGGAACGCCAGUGGCGAAGGCGGUCACCUGGGCCGUACCUGACGUUGAGACGCGAAAGCUGGGGGAGCAAACGGG